RNAcentral lists this ribosomal RNA (426 nucleotides) under uncultured bacterium. RNAcentral's name for it is "bacterial SSU rRNA". It matches the Rfam family "Bacterial small subunit ribosomal RNA", at positions 354 to 796 of the family's 1533-position model. The record is from RNAcentral.
GUGGGGAAUCUUGCGCAAUGGGCGAAAGCCUGACGCAGCAACGCCGCGUGAGGGAUGAAGGCCUUCGGGUUGUAAACCUCUUUCAGCAGGAACGAAUCUGACGGUACCUGCAGAAGAAGGUCCGGCCAACUACGUGCCAGCAGCCGCGGUAACACGUAGGGACCGAGCGUUGUCCGGAUUUAUUGGGCGUAAAGAGCUCGUAGGCGGUUCGGUAAGUCGGGUGUGAAAGCUCCAGGCUCAACUUGGAGAGGCCACCCGAUACUGCCAUGACUUGAGUCCGGUAGGGGAGUGGGGAAUUCCUGGUGUAGCGGUGAAAUGCGCAGAUAUCAGGAGGAACACCGGUGGCGAAGGCGCCACUCUGGGCCGGUACUGACGCUGAGGAGCGAAAGCGUGGGUAGCAAACAGGAUUAGAAACCCGGGUAGUCC